This is a long non-coding RNA of Pogona vitticeps (central bearded dragon), 849 nucleotides long. RefSeq lists it as uncharacterized. The record is from RefSeq and is a predicted model, not a curated record. NCBI's taxonomy places the organism in Eukaryota, Metazoa, Chordata, Lepidosauria, Squamata, Agamidae.
UUAAAAGCUGAGCAGCUGAUGGAUGUGAGACAGUUCUUAGAACGUCUGAUGGAGAAAUCCAAAGGUUCAUUAUGGGCCAGACACUCACCUGAGCACACAUCUCAAAACUAUUCCAUAUGUAUUUAAUGUGCUGUUACUCUCUAUAGUACACAAGGAGGAAUAUUUAGAUCUACCCACAGUACCUUCAUGAACAGACACAACAGAGAAAAUAACAGGUUUUGGAAUACAUGCCCAUAAUAGUCAUUGUGUCUUCCUGAAAGAGGCUCAAGACCCUGUAAAUCCUUGAGAGCAAUGACUGCAUUCUGUGAAAGAUUCAGGUGUAAUCUGAAGCAACAGCAUCUAAUUCAUUGAGUCUACACACAGUGUCUCAGCAACAUAAGGGCUAAUGCCUUAACUUUUUCCCUCCCCUGCCUCUUACUUUUUGUACUGCUUAGCUUGAAGAUGAGUUUUUGGAAAUAAAAAAUCUGAAUGUUUUUGUUAAAUCUUAGUUGGGCCUAAUAAAGGCACUGCCCAAUUGUGGAGUUCUUUUCUACCUCCCCCAUUGGAACAGCACUUUUAUAUUUGUUUUUCACAUGGCUAAGUGUCUUGCUAUUUCUGUUUCUCUUCCUCACUACUCUGUCAUUGGUGUUCCUUUUCCCAUUGCCAAAAGGUUUGCACCAAGAUGUCUUGUCUUCAUUUGUGAUUUGCUCAUGCUAAUCUUGAAAGUGUCAUGUGUUCUAGUGGAGCAAUAUAAAGACACACUCAUAUUGCAUUGUCCAGCAUCAUGGCUGUCUUCUAGAUUGUCUCUUAAGGUAAGGGUGUGGGAAUAUUUUAUUCUCCGUAUUUUUGGCCAACAAGUCCAACCAGCAU